GUACACUCCUGCGGGAGGCAGCAGUGGGGAAUAUUGGACAAUGGGCGCAAGCCUGAUCCAGCCAUGCCGCGUGAGUGAUGAAGGCCCUAGGGUUGUAAAGCUCUUUCACCGGUGAAGAUAAUGACGGUAACCGGAGAAGAAGCCCCGGCUAACUUCGUGCCAGCAGCCGCGGUAAUACGAAGGGGGCUAGCGUUGUUCGGAUUUACUGGGCGUAAAGCGCACGUAGGCGGACUAUUAAGUCAGGGGUGAAAUCCCGGGGCUCAACCCCGGAACUGCCUUUGAUACUGGUAGUCUUGAGUUCGAGAGAUGUGAGUGGAAUUCCGAGUGUAGAGGUGAAAUUCGUAGAUAUUCGGAGGAACACCAGUGGCGAAGGCGGCUCACUGGCUCGAUACUGACGCUGAGGUGCGAAAGCGUGGGGAGCAAACAGGAUUAGAAACCCCAGUAGUCCCA
RNAcentral lists this ribosomal RNA (450 nucleotides) under uncultured organism. RNAcentral's name for it is "partial 16S ribosomal RNA". It matches the Rfam family "Bacterial small subunit ribosomal RNA", at positions 331 to 797 of the family's 1533-position model. The record is from RNAcentral.